This 275-nucleotide long non-coding RNA is filed under the name Gossypium barbadense (sea-island cotton). RNAcentral's name for it is "long non-coding RNA (GBAR_LNC005929)". The record is from RNAcentral. Lineage: Eukaryota; Viridiplantae; Streptophyta; Magnoliopsida; Malvales; Malvaceae.
UCGAACUCCUUACUAUGGUAAGUAUUGUCCUUGAGUUAUGUCAGAGUUUUGUUUCUCACCUCCACUAAGAGCCAUGUAUGGUUCACAAAUGAGAAGUGUCUCGAGGCAACAAGUUGUUCGUGAGCAUACGAAUGUCGGGUUAUCUUCACAUCUUUGGUUUUGUCGCUUGUUGGGGUAAGAUUGGACCAUCUCUUCUUCUUGGAUAGGAGGUUUGUUCUUGAGGGUCCCUUCCAACCCUUAACUCUUCAAAGAUUUCCUUAUUUCUUAGGUUGAGC